GGCCCCAUGGUUUAGUGGUAUAAUUCUCGCUUAGGGUGCGAGAGGUCCCGGGUUCAAUUCCCGGUUGGGCCC
This 72-nucleotide transfer RNA is filed under the name Yarrowia sp. E02. RNAcentral's name for it is "tRNA-Pro". It matches the Rfam family "tRNA". From Rfam's summary of the family: Transfer RNA (tRNA) molecules are approximately 80 nucleotides in length. Lineage: Eukaryota; Fungi; Ascomycota; Dipodascomycetes; Dipodascales. The record is from RNAcentral.